CUUUGCUUCUUCCUGCUGAAGAGGUUUACAACCCGAAGGCCGUCAUCCCUCACGCGGCGUCGCUGCAUCAGGCUUUCGCCCAUUGUGCAAUAUUCCCCACUGCUGCCUCCCGUAGGAGUCUGGGCCGUGUCUCAGUCCCAGUGUGGCCGGUCGCCCUCUCAGGCCGGCUACCCGUCGUCGCCUUGGUAGGCCAUCACCCCACCAACAAGCUGAUAGGCCGCGGGCUCAUCCUUCACCGCCGGAGCUUUUAACCCCGUCCCAUGCGGGACAGAGUGUUAUCCGGUAUUAGACCCCGUUUCCAGGGCUUGUCCCAGAGUGAAGGGCAGAUUGCCCACGUGUUACUCACCCGUUCGCCACUAAUCCACCCCGAANGGCUUCAUCGUUCGACUUGCAUGUGUUAAGCACGCCGCCAGCGUUCGUCCUGAGCCAG
This 430-nucleotide ribosomal RNA is filed under the name Streptomyces sp. 4BA2. Its description in RNAcentral is "partial 16S ribosomal RNA". Lineage: Bacteria; Bacillati; Actinomycetota; Actinomycetes; Kitasatosporales; Streptomycetaceae. The record is from RNAcentral.